RNAcentral lists this long non-coding RNA (290 nucleotides) under Mytilus galloprovincialis (Mediterranean mussel). Lineage: Eukaryota; Metazoa; Mollusca; Bivalvia; Mytilida; Mytilidae. The record is from RNAcentral.
CAAAGUUCAAGUGACUUUAGUCUAUCUAUCUUAAUUCUGUGAAAGUAAAAGUCAUAGUUCUUGAGAUUUUGUUCAUAGAUGCGUCUUGAAAAACCAAGGGGUCCUGAUAAAAAUAGUAUAAUCUUGACCUACAUUUCACAAAUAAGUGACUGAUUUAAAAGCUUGGCAAUGGACGAUUAAAGUCAUUCCAAUAUACUGAUUGUUGAAACAAUACUUUGCACUUUUUAACACCAAAAACCUCCAUAUUUCCGGCCCAAAAAUUUGGUGCUUGCACCAAUUAACUCUCUUGU